UCUAAUACCGGAUAACACCGGCCUUCGCAUGGGGGCUGGUUGAAAGCUCCGGCGGUGAAGGAUGAGCCCGCGGCCUAUCAGCUUGUUGGUGGGGUAAUGGCCUACCAAGGCGACGACGGG
This 120-nucleotide ribosomal RNA is filed under the name Streptomyces narbonensis. RNAcentral describes it as "partial 16S rRNA". It matches the Rfam family "Bacterial small subunit ribosomal RNA", at positions 162 to 283 of the family's 1533-position model. Lineage: Bacteria; Bacillati; Actinomycetota; Actinomycetes; Kitasatosporales; Streptomycetaceae. The record is from RNAcentral.